UCCCGUUGAUCCUGCGGGAGGCUGCUGCUAUUGGGAUUCGACUAAGCCAUGUAAGUCCAGGGGCUCGCAAGAGCACCGGCAAACUGCUCAGUAACACGUUGAUAAUCUGCCCUUAGAUCUGGGAUAACCUUGGGAAACUGAGGCUAACACCGGAUAUGAGAAUUCUGCUGGAAGGCAUUUUCUUUGAAAGGUAACGUCUAAGGAUGAGUCAGCGGUCGAUUAGGUUGUUGGUGGGGUAAUGGCCCACCAAGCCGAAGAUCGAUAGGGGCCCUGAAAGGGGGAGCCCCGAGAAGGGUACUGAGAUACGGACCCUAGCCCUACGGGGUGCAGCAGGCGCGGAACCUCUGCAAUGCACGAAAGUGUGACAGGGGAAUCCCAAGUGCUCAUGCAUAGCAUGGGCUUUUUGCUAAGAGUAAGUAUCUUGGCGAAUAAGUGGUGGGCAAGACUGGUGCCAGCCGCCGCGGUAACACCAGCGCCACAAGUGGCAGCCGCGAUUAUUGGGCCUAAAGCGUUCGUAGCCUGUCUGAUCAAUCCUCUGUGAAAUCGUUUGGCUUAACCUAACGGCAUGCAGAGGAGACUGUCAGACUUGGAACCGGGAGGGGUCAGGAGUAUUCUUGGGGGAGCGGUAAAAUGCUAUAAUCCCAAGAAGACUACCUGUGGCGAAGGCGCCUGACCAGAACGGGUUCGACGGUGAGGAACGAAAGCUAGGGUAGCGAUCCGGAUUAGAUACCCGAGUAGUCCUAGCUGUAAACUCUGCGAGCCAGGUGUCGCGCAUUCUCAAGGAAUGCGCGGUGUCGUAAUGAAGAUGUUAAGCUCGCCGCCUGGGAAGUACGGUCGCAAGACUGAAACUUAAAGGAAUUGGCGGGGGAGCACUACAAGGGGUGCGGCGUGCGGUUUAAUUGAAUUCAACGCCGGAAAUCUCACCAGGGGCGACGGCAGGAUGAAGGCCAGGUUAAAGACUUUGCCUAACGAGCCGAGAGGUGGUGCAUGGCCGUCGUCAGCUCGUGCCGUGAGGUGUCCUCUUAAGUGAGGCAACGAGCGAGACCUGCACUCACAAUUGCUAGCGGCUUUUCAAGGACCGAGCACAAUGUGAGAACUGCCCUGGAAACAGGGAGGAAGGUGCAGGCUACGGUAGGUCUGUAUGCCCCGAAUCCUCUGGGCUACACGCGCGCAACAAUGGUAGGGACAAUGGGAUGCAACUCUGAAAAGAGAAGCUGAACCGAGAAACCCUAUCCUAGUUCAGAUCGAGGAUUGUAACUCAUCCUCGUGACGAUGGAAUCCCUAGUAAUCAGACGUCAUUAUCGUCCGGUGAAUAUGUCCCUGCUCCUUGCACACACCGCCCGUCAAACCAACCGAGCAGGGUCUAGGUGAGGCACAACAUUAUUGGUUAUGUCGAAUCUAGGCUCAGUGAGGUGGGUUAAGUCGUCACAAGGUA
Molecule: ribosomal RNA, 1435 nt
Filed under: metagenome
Description: bacterial SSU rRNA
Rfam family: Archaeal small subunit ribosomal RNA
Source: RNAcentral